CGUCACUCGAACCGACGACCUCU
This 23-nucleotide small nuclear RNA is filed under the name Arabidopsis thaliana (thale cress). RNAcentral's name for it is "snRNA_12651". The record is from RNAcentral. Lineage: Eukaryota; Viridiplantae; Streptophyta; Magnoliopsida; Brassicales; Brassicaceae.